CGGCAGGCCUAAUACAUGCAAGUCGAGGGGUAGAGAGAGCUUGCUUUCUUGAGACCGGCACACGGGUGCGUAACGCGUAUGCAACCUACCUUUAUCUGGGGGAUAGCCCGGAGAAAUCCGGAUUAAUACCGCAUAAAAUCACAGAAUAGCAUUAUUUAAUGAUCAAACAUUUAUGGGAUGAAGAUGGGCAUGCGUGUCAUUAGCUAGUUGGCGGGGUAACGGCCCACCAAGGCGACGAUGACUAGGGGAUCUGAGAGGAUGGCCCCCCACACUGGUACUGAGACACGGACCAGACUCCUACGGGAGGCAGCAGUAAGGAAUAUUGGUCAAUGGAGGCAACUCUGAACCAGCCAUGCCGCGUGCAGGAAGACUGCCCUAUGGGUUGUAAACUGCUUUUAUCCGGGAAUAAACCUUUCUACGUGUAGGAAGCUGAAUGUACCGGAAGAAUAAGGAUCGGCUAACUCCGUGCCAGCAGCCGCGGUAAUACGGAGGAUCCAAGCGUUAUCCGGAUUUAUUGGGUUUAAAGGGUGCGUAGGCGGCCUGUUAAGUCAGGGGUGAAAGACGGUAGCUCAACUAUCGCAGUGCCCUUGAUACUGAUGGGCUUGAAUGGACUAGAGGUAGGCGGAAUGAGACAAGUAGCGGUGAAAUGCAUAGAUAUGUCUCAGAACACCGAUUGCGAAGGCAGCUUACUAUGGUCUUAUUGACGCUGAGGCACGAAAGCGUGGGGAUCAAACAGGAUUAGAUACCCUGGUAGUCCACGCCCUAAACGAUGAACACUCGCUGUUGGCGAUACACAGUCAGCGGCUAAGCGAAAGCGUUAAGUGUUCCACCUGGGGAGUACGCCCGCAAGGGUGAAACUCAAAGGAAUUGACGGGGGCCCGCACAAGCGGAGGAGCAUGUGGUUUAAUUCGAUGAUACGCGAGGAACCUUACCCGGGCUUGAAAGUUAGUGAAUGAUCUAGAGAUAGAUCAGUGAGCAAUCACACGAAACUAGGUGCUGCAUGGCUGUCGUCAGCUCGUGCCGUGAGGUGUUGGGUUAAGUCCCGCAACGAGCGCAACCCCUAUGUUUAGUUGCCAGCAUGUAAUGAUGGGGACUCUAAACAGACUGCCUGUGCAAACAGAGAGGAAGGAGGGGACGACGUCAAGUCAUCAUGGCCCUUACGUCCGGGGCUACACACGUGCUACAAUGGAUGGUACAGAGGGCAGCUAGCUGGCAACAGUAUGCGAAUCUCACAAAGCCAUUCACAGUUCGGAUUGGGGUCUGCAACUCGACCCCAUGAAGUUGGAUUCGCUAGUAAUCGCGUAUCAGCAAUGACGCGGUGAAUACGUUCCCGGGCCUUGUACACACCGCCCGUCAAGCCAUGGAAGUUGGGGGUACCUAAAGUAUGUAACCGCAAGGAGCGUCCUAGGGUAAAACCGAUAACUGGGGCU
This 1430-nucleotide ribosomal RNA is filed under the name uncultured organism. RNAcentral describes it as "SSU rRNA". It matches the Rfam family "Bacterial small subunit ribosomal RNA". The record is from RNAcentral.